Molecule: small nucleolar RNA, 111 nt
Filed under: Brachypodium distachyon (stiff brome)
Lineage: Eukaryota; Viridiplantae; Streptophyta; Magnoliopsida; Poales; Poaceae
Description: snoRNA snoZ279_R105_R108
Rfam family: Small nucleolar RNA Z279/snoR105/snoR108
About the family: This family includes the plant snoRNAs known as Z279, snoR105 and snoR108. All three are members of the C/D class of snoRNA which contain the C (UGAUGA) and D (CUGA) box motifs.
Source: Rfam by way of RNAcentral
GGGAAAUGAGGAGUGGUACAGGCUCGCAAAUUUCAAAAUGCGAGAGGGGUGCCCGCCCCAACCAAGCCUGUUACGACACUGGGGCAUCCCCGUGACUCACCAUCUGAUCCC